This 252-nucleotide ribosomal RNA is filed under the name uncultured bacterium. RNAcentral's name for it is "partial 16S ribosomal RNA". It matches the Rfam family "Bacterial small subunit ribosomal RNA", at positions 524 to 776 of the family's 1533-position model. The record is from RNAcentral.
UACGUAGGUGGCAAGCGUUGUCCGGAAUUAUUGGGCGUAAAGCGCGCGCAGGCGGUCCUUUAAGUCUGAUGUGAAAGCCCACGGCUCAACCGUGGAGGGUCAUUGGAAACUGGGGGACUUGAGUGCAGAAGAGGAAAGCGGAAUUCCACGUGUAGCGGUGAAAUGCGUAGAGAUGUGGAGGAACACCAGUGGCGAGGGCGGCUUCUGGUCUGUAACUGACGCUGAGGCGCGAAAGCGUGGGGAGCAAACAGG